ACAUACGACCAUACCCACUGGAAAACUCGGGAUCCCAUCCGCUCUCCCAUAGAUAAGCCAGUGAGGGAUAGAGUAGUAGUCGGGUCGGUGACGACCGGCGAAUGCCUGUUGUUGUAUGUU
This is a ribosomal RNA of Colletotrichum gloeosporioides Cg-14, 120 nucleotides long. Lineage: Eukaryota; Fungi; Ascomycota; Sordariomycetes; Glomerellales; Glomerellaceae. The record is from Rfam.